CUGGAAGCUUUUCAGCAAGUACCUAUAGCUCAGUAACCAAUAAAAAUAAUGAAAUGACAUACAACUAUCUGCCAAUACAUGAAAAAACUCAAAUUUCUACGUUCUGCUAUGAUACAAUAAAUAUAACUGACACUGAAUCCAAACAACAGUUUUUAUCCCUAUAUUAUUUUUUCCAUUUGUUUUGCUGCCUCUCUAAUUAAUAAGCACAAAAUGAAGAUUUUCAAUCAUUAAAUGCCUUCCAGCCAGGUACCUCAGUUAGAAAGGUUUAACAUCUACCUUACAGAGAUAAUGCAUGAG
Molecule: unclassified non-coding RNA, 297 nt
Filed under: Hevea brasiliensis (rubber tree)
Lineage: Eukaryota; Viridiplantae; Streptophyta; Magnoliopsida; Malpighiales; Euphorbiaceae
Source: RNAcentral